UACGUAGGGUGCAAGCGUUAAUCGGAAUUACUGGGCGUAAAGCGUGCGCAGGCGGUUUUGUAAGUCUGACGUGAAAUCCCCGGGCUUAACCUGGGAAUUGCGUUGGAGACUGCAAGGCUGGAGCCUGGCAGAGGGGGGUAGAAUUCCACGUGUAGCAGUGAAAUGCGUAGAGAUGUGGAGGAACACCGAUGGCGUAGGCAGCCCCCUGGGUCAAGACUGACGCUCAUGCACGAAAGCGUGGGGAGCAAACAGG
This 253-nucleotide ribosomal RNA is filed under the name uncultured bacterium. RNAcentral describes it as "partial 16S ribosomal RNA". It matches the Rfam family "Bacterial small subunit ribosomal RNA", at positions 524 to 776 of the family's 1533-position model. The record is from RNAcentral.